AGUGAACGCUGGCGGCGUGCUUAACACAUGCAAGUCGAACGAGAACGGAUUUUAGCUUGCUAUAAUUGUCAGCUAAGUGGCGCACGGGUGAGUAAUGUAUAGGUAAUAUGCCUCUUACUAAGGGAUAACAAUUGGAAACGAUUGCUAAUACCUUAUAUUCCUUUUUAUCAAAAGAUAAAAAGGGAAAGAUUUAUUGGUAAGAGAUUAGCGUGUAUUGUAUCAGUUAGGUGGUGGGGUAAUGGCCUACCAAGAUGAUGACGCAUAACUGGUUUGUGAGGAAGAUCAGUCACACUGGAACUGAGACACGGUCCAGACUCCUACGGGAGGCAGCAGUGGGGAAUAUAGCACAAUGGACGAGAGUCUGAUGCAGCAACGCCGCGUGGAGGAUGACACAUUUCGGUGCGUAAACUCCUUUUAUAUAAGAAGAUAAUGACGGUAUUAUAAGAAUAAGCACCGGCUAACUCCGUGCCAGCCGCCGCCGUAA
RNAcentral lists this ribosomal RNA (484 nucleotides) under uncultured bacterium. RNAcentral describes it as "partial 16S ribosomal RNA". It matches the Rfam family "Bacterial small subunit ribosomal RNA", at positions 29 to 523 of the family's 1533-position model. The record is from RNAcentral.